GGCGGAUGUAUCCAAGUGGAUC
This 22-nucleotide transfer RNA is filed under the name Onobrychis viciifolia (common sainfoin). RNAcentral's name for it is "partial tRNA-His". Lineage: Eukaryota; Viridiplantae; Streptophyta; Magnoliopsida; Fabales; Fabaceae. The record is from RNAcentral.